This is a long non-coding RNA of Brachypodium distachyon (stiff brome), 734 nucleotides long. RefSeq lists it as uncharacterized. NCBI's taxonomy places the organism in Eukaryota, Viridiplantae, Streptophyta, Magnoliopsida, Poales, Poaceae. The transcript is spliced from 2 exons. The record is from RefSeq and is a predicted model, not a curated record.
GGAGGAGGCUGCACCGCUCCUCAACAGGAAAAAGCAAACGUAGAAAUAGCUAAAACGGAGCUGGAUGGAUCGCCAAACGAGACCAAAAUUGCAUUUCGCGGGUGUUACGAUUUUCAGACAAAACUAAAUGUACACUUAUUUGUGGACGAAGGAAAUACUCAUGAAGCUGCUACCUCCACGGACCACAAAAGAAGAAGGUAGUCGGAGGCAAAAAUCCACAAUUGUUCUACCAUCGAAUUCCAGAUGCAAUUGUACCCUGAACUGCUAUCAGCAUCAGGUGAUGUUGCGACCGGUCGGUUUGGUACUGCUUUCGGAUACGACGUCGCCAGAGACUGUAUUAUGCUAAUCUCACUGUAAUGUUCUAUUCGCGAUCGGAGGGAGUAGUGAAUUUGAUAUUUACAACAAUCUUGGUUCUCUUAAAUGUACUCUCGUGGUAGAAGAAAUCAUAGACCAAACACACGACGUGUUGGCUACUACAUCCUUGGAUUACAAAUGGGAGCACGACAUCUCUUAUUUAUUUGACCAGCUGGGCAUUGCAAUGUUAGUUAUUAAGAGAAAAAUUAUGAUUAUCUCAAACUGAAGAAUCAUAACAUAUGAGACGAUCACUCAAGUACCAAUAAAUGUUCACAUUGUUGACAAGGUAGAAGAGGAGCAAUUAGCAACGAUAAUAACAUUGUAUUGGAAUAGAUCCAUUGUCACGGAAAGAAUUUAUUCUUCAGGCAUUGAAAGUAAAA